GCCAUGAUGCAUUUCACAAAGACUCAUUCAAGGUAAUGGCUUAUAUAUUGAUUACAUAAUUCAGAGUGUACAUUGCCAAUGCAUUUAUUAAAUAUAAUAUGUACUAAUUCUGUUUUGUUUUGAGUACAAAAAAAAAAAAAAAAAAAAAAAAAAAAAAAAAGAGGUGAUAACGUAAGACUUAAGAGACUAUCUUACCCUCACUAUAUGGGAAUCACUGUCAAAUUAUACAUAUAUCUUCCAAUCAUGAAAGCAAAAGGAGUUUGGAUGCUCUUUUAAAGAUAGAAAAUUAUGCCUUAAUUUACAUCUUAAGUUUUCUAAGCAAUGCCAACAGAUGGGCAAGUUUCUGCUAUAAGGAUUCAUUCAUUGGGUCCGUUUUAUUCUUAUUGUGAGAUUGGUAGAACCCAACAGUUUAUGCAAUGGCUACACAUUGUUUUUUCCUAGAGUUAAAUAUUGAUUCAGAAUUCUGAAGUAUAGAGGACUCAAAUAUGCUGAUUUAUAGAAACAAGAUUAUCAUUAAUUUAGAUCUUGUAAAAAAAUUAGUAAAAUAUUGGUAAAUAAAUAAAUAAGAUUUAAAGCAUUGUGGAUGCAGGAUUUAUUUAAAAUGCUAGACAUGGUCUAGGAAAUUGAAGUAGUUCUCAAGAUUUGAAACUAUCUAUUAUACAGCUCUUUAUAUAAA
RNAcentral lists this long non-coding RNA (676 nucleotides) under Mytilus galloprovincialis (Mediterranean mussel). Lineage: Eukaryota; Metazoa; Mollusca; Bivalvia; Mytilida; Mytilidae. The record is from RNAcentral.